GAGAGAGACAUGCGCGCAUAUCAAUAAGCGGAGGAAAAGAAACUAACUAGGAUUCCCUCAGUAACGGCGAGUGAAGCGGGAAGAGCUCAAAUUUGAAAUCUUCAAGGUUCUACCUUGACGAAUUGUAGUUUAAAGAAGUGUUUUCUGUUGAAGUUUUGGUAAAAGUUCUUUGGAAUAGGACAUCAUAGAGGGUGAGAAUCCCGUAUUUGACCAUUAUUUCCAGCUUUGUGAUACACUUUCAAAGAGUCGGAUUGUUUGGGAAUGCAGUCCAAAAUGGGUGGUAAAUUUCAUCUAAAGCUAAAUAUUGGCGAGAGACCGAUAGCGAACAAGUACCGUGAGGGAAAGAUGAAAAGAACUUUGAAAAGAGAGUUAAACAGUACGUGAAAUUGUCAAAAGGGAAGCGUUUGACACCAGUGUUGUUUUUCUGAAAAUCAAUUAAAGAACUGUUUAUGCUAAGCUGUUUAGACUUUAUCAGCUAAUCUGUUUAGUUUUGAGCUUUUCUUUAAUGCACUUUUCAGUUAACAAGUCAACAUCAAUUUCUUUUGCUGUAAAAAAGCUUGAGGAAGGUGGCUUGAGAUUCGUCUUAAGUGUUUAUAGCCUCUUGCCUAUGCAGUCGGAGAGAUUGAGGUCUGCAGCGUAGAUCCUUCGGGGCUAAAUGCAUUUGUGCUAAGUUAUAGCAUUUUAUAGACAACUUGUUGACUAUGAUUUGUCUUGUAGCUUACUCGCUUAUGUUAUUUUACCUACGCUUAGGAUGUUGAUGUGAUACUGCGAGCA
This 774-nucleotide ribosomal RNA is filed under the name uncultured Neocallimastigales. Its description in RNAcentral is "partial large subunit ribosomal RNA". It matches the Rfam family "Eukaryotic large subunit ribosomal RNA", at positions 23 to 646 of the family's 3401-position model. The record is from RNAcentral. Lineage: Eukaryota; Fungi; Neocallimastigomycota; Neocallimastigomycetes; Neocallimastigales.